Lingula anatina is the source of this 1936-nucleotide long non-coding RNA. RefSeq lists it as uncharacterized. Lineage: Eukaryota; Metazoa; Brachiopoda; Lingulata; Lingulida; Lingulidae. The record is from RefSeq and is a predicted model, not a curated record.
UGUACUAUUAUGUAAUCCAGAUGAGCCUUUUGGUGAGAGGUGUUCAGGGAGGACCAAGGUCAGUGGGCAAAAAUGGAGAAAAAAUGAGCCUGUGCCACACUGCGACAAUUUUCUUACGAAGAACGAAAUUUUGGCGUCGAAAACUGCAGCAGUCGAUAAGGGAAUACAUUGGCCAAUAAAGAAUGGAGGGGUUUAUUCCAGCUGUCCAAAAAUCUGAACAUGUAAAUCCAUCUAAAACACAAAGACUGGGCAGUGACUCCUACCUAACGCUUAGAAGGUGACUGGAUGCACCCUUCACCAAAGACAUCAGGUUUCUGUUCUUCAACGCCCGCUCCCAUGGCAAGACUGUCUCGCUUGUCGAAGUUUGUCUUCUUGUUAAUUUGCAAGGUUGACGUUUGUUAUGAAAUGUGAUAUUUGCUUUGGAUUGUAAUAUCUUGUAUCAAUACGUAUAUCAGCUGAAGAAAAGCACGUAAGGAGUGUUUUAUCCUUUGAUCUGAAAAAAAAAAUGGACUAAAUCCAAGCGUCAACCCUGUAUGUUGCUGGUUUAAUUCAAUAUAUGUUUCGUAGUCGUAGUAUACUAGUAGUACUCUAUCCACACACGAUGUUUUUUCUUUGUAAUUUGUUUAAAGAUUUCUUUGUUUCAUCAGUCUUCGUACCUGAAACGACACUUUUGAAGUACCACUUUAAUAGAAUUGAUUAAGGACUUGGUUAAGGGAUGUACCGGUAUGGAAAAGAAAUGAUUGAGUGAUUGUUAUAAAAUUAUUCUAAGUCAUACCCAAGCGGAGUACUGUGAUAGCUCUAUCAGCUUUCAGUUUGGUUGUAAAAUAAUAUGUGUGGAUAAAUAUAUAGCAAGAUGAACUGCUCUCGAAAAUGAUUGGUUGUUCAUCUUAAUUAGAAAGAUAAUAUUAAUUUUAUAAAGUUAACUUUUGGGAGGAAAAUUUGCCGCGACUCCUUUACGUUAAUUGCAUACAAAAAACUUUUUCGAGAAUCAGAUAUUGGUUGUUUAAUUAAGGAAGACUUCUAGAUGUAACUCUACAAUUAAUUGAAAACACUGUUCUAAAUUAAACCACUUCAGAAAUGACAAAUUUUAAAACUGCAAAAUAUGGUAGCGUUGUUGUAGAAUUGCCGUCACGUUUGGAAGGGUCUUUCUAAAAUUGUGAUUAUGCGGUGUGACGCAUGCUUAGAAUAUAUAAACUAUAACUUUGGAUCUUGGUGUUUUGAUACUUUGUGUCUGAUCAGUGACGGACCCAUAGUUUCAGUACUGGGAGGGGGUCAGUGUGUUUGUUUUACGGAAAAUCAAACCAGGGGUAGGAUAAUUUUUUUAGAAAUUAAUUUGCAUUUGUUAUUACAGUAGGAAAAUAUACAGAUAGAAAAAUUGUUUAUAAUGGGACUUCCAAAAUUUCCCAGCAUUUUUGGACAUGGCCAAGGGGUCAUGUUUAUUUACAUUUCCUGAAUGUUUUUUGAAAAGUUAUUUUGAGAUAACUGAUUUUGUGUAAACUUUUUGUUUUUGUUUGUAUAUUAUCCAUAAAGAUGACUUUGACUGGGAUAAGGCUGUAAACUGAUCAUGUCUUUAUGCUGUUUUUGAUUCGCACCUACCGCGAAAUUAAGUUUUCACUCAAAAUUGUGCCAUGCAUUGCAACUACAUCUUUUAGGAUUCGAUGUGAAAAAAACAAAAUUAUGCAACCAUAAAGUUUCAGAAAUAAAUACUUUUGAGUUAUUUUUUAGUUUUGUGUGCGAUGAUCAGCAUGAGGACAUACAUUGUAGAAUAAGGAAUACGUUCAUGAGUGCGUGCGCGCUUCCAAAGACACGAUUACAUGAGAUCCUAUGCAUUUUGAAUUUUCGAUAUCGUUAAUACCCCUGAAUUUGGAUAAAUGUUCCUUCAUGAAAUUUGCCAUCAAUAAAAAGACAAAUAAAACAGUGUCAUUUUUGAACAUUA